RNAcentral lists this ribosomal RNA (116 nucleotides) under Klebsiella pneumoniae. The record is from RNAcentral. Lineage: Bacteria; Pseudomonadati; Pseudomonadota; Gammaproteobacteria; Enterobacterales; Enterobacteriaceae.
CCUGGCGGCACUAGCGCGGUGGUCCCACCUGACCCCAUGCCGAACUCAGAAGUGAAACGACGUAGCGCCGAUGGUAGUGUGGGGUCUCCCCAUGUGAGAGUAGGGAAAAGCCAGGC